GCCUCUGUAGCCUAGUUGGUAAAGGCAGCACUCUAGUAUGUGUCUCAGCAUAGCUGAGGUCGUGAGUUCAACUCUCACCAGACACA
Molecule: transfer RNA, 86 nt
Organism: Puccinia triticina 1-1 BBBD Race 1
Lineage: Eukaryota; Fungi; Basidiomycota; Pucciniomycetes; Pucciniales; Pucciniaceae
Rfam family: tRNA
About the family: Transfer RNA (tRNA) molecules are approximately 80 nucleotides in length. Their secondary structure includes four short double-helical elements and three loops (D, anti-codon, and T loops).
Source: Rfam